GUGAAUCAUCAAAUUUUUGAACGCAAAUUGCACUUUCUGGUAUUCCGGAAAGUAUGCCUGUUUGAGGGUCAGUUAUAUAAAAAUCGGUGUUGUUGCUGCCUUUCGUGGUGACGCGUCGGAAUAGGGUCGUUUUAACUUUGGUUAAGUGACUUAAAAUUUUUGCAUGAUUUUCGAACUUAUUUAAAUUGCUUACGUACGUUUGAGAUAUAGAAUGCUUAUACGGUUCGGUCAUUCUCAUGAUUCUCG
RNAcentral lists this unclassified non-coding RNA (246 nucleotides) under Glomus sp. RNAcentral describes it as "partial contains 5.8S ribosomal RNA and internal transcribed spacer 2". The stretch from base 1 to 71 matches the Rfam family "5.8S ribosomal RNA", at positions 84 to 154 of the family's 154-position model. The record is from RNAcentral. Lineage: Eukaryota; Fungi; Glomeromycota; Glomeromycetes; Glomerales; Glomeraceae.